This 520-nucleotide ribosomal RNA is filed under the name uncultured eukaryote. RNAcentral describes it as "eukaryotic LSU rRNA". It matches the Rfam family "Eukaryotic large subunit ribosomal RNA", at positions 107 to 617 of the family's 3401-position model. The record is from RNAcentral.
GCUCAAGCUUAAAAUCCAGUCUCUUUUGAGAUUCGAAUUGUAGUGUAAAUUAACAUUAAUAUGGUCAUGAUAAUUGCCUAAGUGUGAACAUCUGAAUUUCCUAUCAAAGACGGUGAUAAUCCGGUAUGGUAGUUUGAUUGGCUAAAUAUUCUUGUUAUUUAAAGAGUCGAGUUGUUUGGGAUUGCAACUCUAAUAAAGGUGAUAGAUUUCAUCUAAAGCUAAAUAUAUUAGGAAAACCGAUAGCAAAGAAGUACUGUGAAGGAAAGGUGAAAAGAACUUUGAAAAGAGAGUUAAAAGUGCUUGAAAUUGUUAAAAGGGAAGCGAAUGAAAAGAAUUACUGCGAUUAAGGUCCUCAGUAUUUCUGAAGGGGAAUUUAAUGAAAGGCUUAGUCGACUUGACCUGUCUGAUUUGAAAACCUUGGACGAUUAUUUAUAGAUCUUGCAGAUUAAUGUAAAAUAAGGAAAUUAAAAAAAAGGAACUGAAAAAGAAGAUAUGUAGUGGGCGUUGUCUCAUUGUCAAU